RNAcentral lists this transfer RNA (203 nucleotides) under Marmota monax (woodchuck). Its description in RNAcentral is "tRNA.Ala". The stretch from base 1 to 69 matches the Rfam family "tRNA". Lineage: Eukaryota; Metazoa; Chordata; Mammalia; Rodentia; Sciuridae. The record is from RNAcentral.
GGAGUUGUGGCUCAGUGGUAGAGCGCUCGCCUAGCAUGUGUGAGAUCCUGGGUAUAAUCCUCAGCACCACAUAAAAAUAAAGGUAUUGUGUGCAACUACAACUAAUAAAUAAAUAAAUGUUUUUUUGUUUUGUUUUAAAUCUUUACCAGGGCUGGGGAUGUAGCUCAGUGCUGGAGGGCUUGAGUUCAAUCCCAACUACUGCA